AAAAAGUAGAAAAAAAUCCAAACAAAAAAAAAUAAGAAAAAAAUCAAACAGAAAUAAAAUAAUAAAUUAAAGUGUUUAUGGAUUUAAAGUCCAUUUACAAUUCAUUUAGCCCAAAAAAAUAAUAGCCUAAACAAACACCCAAAAUCCCUUAACCCAAUUACAUAAAAUCCGACCCAAUUAAAUAAAUCCUAAAACCCAAUUCUAAUAGCCCAAACACGAGGCCCAAUACACCCAAAAAGGAGUACAGCAGAUGAGAGCACCAGAAGCUUCUGGAAUAGGCCAGAGAGUUGGGUUCCCACGAGUGGCUCCUCGCACGGCCUCCUUCGCACGUCUCCUCGCACCUCCGUACGGCCGAGUCUGUACAGGAAUACACCAGAAGAACCACUAACAGAAUACGACAAAUAAAUGUAAUUUUUAUUUUUAUUUAUUCUAAAAAUUUGGCUAUAAAAAGCUGUUGAUUUCAUCUCUGUAAUCUUACGCACACUACACAAAUCCAAUACCAAGAAUCAAAAAAAUCAAAAGGUGAUUUAAAAUUUUUCUUCCGUCUUCAAUAUUUUUUUCUCUUUUGCAUAUAUCUUGUUUUUAGUUUUUUUUUUUUUUAAAAAGAAAAACAAGAAAGUUACCUUCGUGAAUGCAUCGAUAAGAUCCCUUGUCUUCUCCAUCGAAAUCGAGGUUAGAAAUGCGGAUACUCAAGUGAAAAUGGUCUUUGAGUGUUGAUUCUGAUGGAAAUAAAGGCUGCUUCUACACCACUUACCAAUUUUAAUGGUGAACUGGUGACGAAAUGGUCUUAGUAAACCCUAGAACUACUGCGCCGAAACCCGUACAAAUGGGUGCUUAGAUUGUGGCUUGAAAAAUGGCAGAAUGCCAUUCAAUUUCUUUUUAAUUUUGAAUCAAAAUUGAAACAGCGCCGUUUAUAAUGAGGAAGAUCUGCGCGUCAGCCCGUUUAGCAGGACAGAUCUGCGCAUUUCCAUUCAAAAUGGGGAAUUUGCGCAUUAGAUCCUUCCCUUCGCGCGAAGCCUUCAAUUGCGCCCUAUUAUCUUACCUUGUUUUUUUAAAAUUUGGCUCUGUAAUUUGUGCGCCUUUUCACUUUGGUCCGCGGUUCAGUGCAGCGUUUUGGGCGCGGGAUAUUUCCAAUUCCAGUCCCCGCACAUUGAUCCUAUUUUGCAAUUAUUUUAUUUGUAAAUUGUUGCUUCAAUUUUUUUUUUAAAAUUAAGUUGUUAUUCUUUUUUAUUUACUGCACAUACAUUUUCUUUUACAUGCUUGAUUAUUGGUUGUAAUAUUUCACGUUGCUUUGAUAAUUGAAUGUUGUUUUAAAAACAUUAUUAUAAUCUUUUCUCGUUUAUUCUAUCAUUUUAAUAAUUGGUGUGUUAUUUGUAAUAAAAUUCAUUUUAG
This 1392-nucleotide long non-coding RNA is filed under the name Gossypium barbadense (sea-island cotton). RNAcentral's name for it is "long non-coding RNA (GBAR_LNC002523)". The record is from RNAcentral. Lineage: Eukaryota; Viridiplantae; Streptophyta; Magnoliopsida; Malvales; Malvaceae.